UUUUAAGGAUAAGUCUUUCUCAUGCAAUAUUUGGGACAGACUUAUAUUAAAA
RNAcentral lists this microRNA precursor (52 nucleotides) under Gorilla gorilla gorilla (western lowland gorilla). RNAcentral's name for it is "mir-1302 microRNA precursor family". It matches the Rfam family "mir-1302 microRNA precursor family". Lineage: Eukaryota; Metazoa; Chordata; Mammalia; Primates; Hominidae. The record is from Rfam by way of RNAcentral.